UAAUGAAAGCUUUUACAGUAAUAAAAGACUCAGUUUAUUUAUAAAAGGAAGGCCCUACAGGAAAACUUUCCUUAAUAAAGCCUGUGAUAAAGAGCAGCAGUAAAAACUUACCUGCAAAAAUAAUUCCAUGUAUCAUUAAAUCUCAAAAUUUUUUUUUAAAAAAAGAUCAUUUAUAGCUCAGCAGCCUAACCAGGGAUUUGUCCCUGGAGAGUCGUAUUAAGUACUGAAUUAUGUGUCUGUGUUCUCAGCGCUACCUGGUGGGGUAUUCUAUUCUAAUCAUACUUCAAAGCAGCGGCUAAAAUUAGAGAAUUAGCAUAAAGCCAGGGCCUAAAGGGCUAUUUGGAACCCAGGUUUAUUACUUUUAUUCACUCAAUAGUAAACAUUUAAUGAGUAUCUGCUCUUUGCCAGGGAUAUCUCUGGUUACUUGAGAAUAAAUACAGAUAAAACUCAUCUCUGCCCUCAAGGAACUCAGUUUUACUGCAAUAAACACAUACCACUGCAGUUCAUGAGAGUAUAAGACAAAGGUCUCAGGAGAUGGGAGGUCAGACUUCCCUGGGGGAGAUCCGAGAAGGUCAGAGAGCAGGGCCUACUUCACAGGAGUCAUGAAGUUCUGGCAGAGAGACUGAAGUUUGAGGAGGUUCAAAAAUGCCCCCAAGGGGUUGUAAAUGACAGCUUCAAGACUCAGAAUUGGAAUCCAGGUCUUUCUCCACCUGAUCCAAUGCUCUUUCCUCUUUACCAACAAGAAAACAAAUCUUAAGUGUAAUGGAUGACCAACUCGCACGUGGCAGAUGGUUCCAAGGCACUCCAGUUUGAUCCUCCCAUAUCACCUGUCGGGAUGUUUGGAUUCUGGCAGCCAUGAGGGAAUUGGUCAUUGAACACAAUGGUUGCAAGGUCAUGCAGGAUCUCAGCUCCCUGAUCAGGGAUUGAACCUGUGCUCCCUGCAGUGGAAGUUCAGAGUCCUAACCACGGCACUGACAGGGAAUUCCCUCAGUUCAGUUUUUAAGACAAGACAUUUAUUUGGUGCUUGCUGCGUGCUACAUAUUGUUCUGAGUACCAGGAAGACAAAUGUCUGACCAGAAUGUGUGGUAUCUGCCUGUUCUUCUGCCUCCAUUUGUUCUUACGAUCUGCUCCCUGGAAGCUGGCGGACAGCACCUCAGGCUUACCCCAUGCCACGUCACCACAAUGGAAUCUGGCUACAGGUGUUCCCUCCAGGGAGUUCCAAGUGAACCAGAAGCAGAAUGCAUAUAACUUAGAUGGGAUACACAUCACCAUCCCCAAUCUGUCCACCCUGUGCUAUUUUAAGCCUCAGAAUAUGCUGCUGUUCUAUAGGAUCUGAUCAGAGAUCUGACGCUGAGGAAAAUCAUCUACACACAUGGAAAAAAAUAAAAGUGGAUUCCUACUUUGCCUUCAUAUUAAAAAAAGUUUUGACAGGUUUCAGAUGGAUUAAAAACUAAAUAUGGGGGGAGAGAAAUCAGGAGUUUGGGAUUAAUAGAUACACACUACUACAUAUAAAAUAGAUAAACAACAAGGACCUACUGUAUAG
Long non-coding RNA from Bos taurus (domestic cattle), 1543 nucleotides. The record is from Ensembl. Lineage: Eukaryota; Metazoa; Chordata; Mammalia; Artiodactyla; Bovidae.